This 497-nucleotide ribosomal RNA is filed under the name uncultured bacterium. RNAcentral's name for it is "partial 16S ribosomal RNA". It matches the Rfam family "Bacterial small subunit ribosomal RNA", at positions 28 to 507 of the family's 1533-position model. The record is from RNAcentral.
GAUGAACGCUGGCGGCGUGCCUAAUACAUGCAAGUCGAGCGAACAGACGAGGAUCUUGCUCCUCUGACGUUAGCGGCGGACGGGUGAGUAACACGUGGAUAACCUACCUCUAAGACUUGGAUAACUUCGGGAAACCGGAGCUAAUACCGGAUAAUAUAUUUAACCGCAUGGUUCUAUAGUGAAAGACGGUUUUGCUGUCACUUAUAGAUGGAUCCGCGCCGCAUUAGCUAGUUGGUAAGGUAACGGCUUACCAAGGAAACGAUGCGUAGCCGACAUGAGAGGGGGAACGGGCACACUGGAAGUGAGACACGGUCCAGACACCUACGGGAGGCAGCAGCAGGGAAUCUUCCGCAAUGGGCGAAAGCCUGACGGAGCAACGCCGCGUGAGUGAUGAAGGUCUGCGGAUCGUAAAACUCUGUUAUUAGGGAAGAACAAAUGUGUAAGUAACUAUGCACGUCUUGACGGUACUGAAUCAGAAAGCCACGGCUAACUACGUG